This 253-nucleotide ribosomal RNA is filed under the name uncultured bacterium. Its description in RNAcentral is "partial 16S ribosomal RNA". It matches the Rfam family "Bacterial small subunit ribosomal RNA", at positions 524 to 776 of the family's 1533-position model. The record is from RNAcentral.
UACAGAGGUCUCAAGCGUUGUUCGGAAUUACUGGGCGUAAAGCGCGCGUAGGCGGCUUUGUAAGUUAGAGGUGAAGGCCCAGGGCUCAACCCUGGAAUUGCCUUUAAGACUGCAUCGCUUGAACAUCGGAGAGGUAAGUGGAAUUCCGAGUGUAGAGGUGAAAUUCGUAGAUAUUCGGAAGAACACCAGUGGCGAAGGCGACUUACUGGACGAUUGUUGACGCUGAGGUGCGAAAGCGUGGGGAGCAAACAGG